UUUUUUUUUUUUUUUUUUUUUUUGUCUUUUUGCCAUUUCUUGGACCGCUCCCGCGGCAUAUGGGAGGUUCCCAGGCUAGGGGUCGAAUAGGAGCUGUAACCACCAGCCUAUGCCAGGGCCACAGCAACGCGGGAUCCAAGCCGCAUCUGCGACCUACACCACAGCUCACGGCAACGCCGCAUCGUUAACCCACUGAGCAAGGCCAGGGAUUGAACACGCAACCUCAUGGUUCCUAGUCGGAUUCGUUAACCACUGCGCCAUGACGGGAACUCCCUGAAGGAUAAUUUAAGGAGUGAAACCAGAAACCCACAGGGUAGAACCAAGAGCUAUGGAGAAACAUUCCCAAACAGCAGGACUAAAGUCCUAAUUAAGCAAGCAGCAGCAUGUGCCCAGCAGGAUUUGACAUUUGAUAUGAACAGGGGCUGCUGUGUGCCUCCUGUUUUCAGCCUUUGGGGAAGGGAGUGUCUAAAGUACCUGAACACUAUACUGUAUGCAGGAUAUAUGGAGAACAAAGAACUUGACCCUUUAGUUCAUAGAUGUUUAGAUUGAAAGGGAAAGUAAUUAAGGACCUAUACUCAAGGAACCACAUCCAAGCUGUCUUAUCAGCAUAGGGAUCUGAUUUGAUGACAAGAUCUUGGUCCUGUAGUCUAAGCCUGAUGCUGUAUAAAGAUGAGGUUGUGAAUCAAGUGCAUGUAGGAGGGAUGUGUGUUGUGGCUAGAAGGCAGACUGUAUUAUCCAAAACUGACUGCAACAAUAUUUCCUCUAACACCUGCUCUUUCAGAAACUUGCUACUCCUUCAUCAAGUGCUAUUCCUUCCCUGGAACAAGGGCAGGCCUUAGUUACUAAUUCACUCAUAGAAGGCAGUGAAAAGUAAUACAUUGUGACUUCUGAGACCAGGACAUAAAAGGGAUAGCCUGGCUGUCUCUUGUUACACUUACUCUUGGAACUUAGCCAAGAAACUGUAAGGAAGCCCAGACAUAAAAUGCCACAUGUGCCUGUUUCAGCCAACAGUCCCAGCUGAGGUCUCAGGUGCAGCCAUAUCAACUGCCAGACAUGUGAGUGAGGAAGCCUUUGAGAUGACUCUAGUCCCAGCCACUGCCUGACUACAACCUCACAAGGGAUGCAGACCACAACUGCCCGGCUGAGGCCAGGAAACCCCCAGAACUGAGUGAGACAAUAAAUACUUUACCCCAAGUUCAAGGUGCUUGUGUAGCUAUAGCAAACCAUAACAGUAUCUUUCUCAACUCAUGGAUUUAAACACUUUUGAUGGACUUUAAAACCAGCUAGGAUUAUUAUUAUCUUUUUGAAAACUCAAACUGUCCUAUUUUUGGCUAAUGGGUGCUACUUCAAAUUAUAUAUUAUUUUAUAUUACUUUAAUUAUAUGUGUGUAUAUAUACACAUAUAUGUAUUUUUUUUUUUAACUCUAGCUCUGUAUACAUCAGGCCAUCUGCAACUACCUGGUGGUAAGUGGAUUUUUUUCUCCUGUGUGGUAAAAUUCACUUGUAAAAUUCAGUAUUUUAAACCGUACAAUUCAGUGACAUCUGGAACAUCCACAUGCUAUACUAUCAUCACCACUAUCUAGAUCCAGAACAUUAUAUCACCCCAAAAAUAAAUUCCUGUACCAACUAAGCAGUCUCCUUAUUCUCCCUUCUCCUCAGCAGACACUAUUUACUUUGUGGCUCUCAGAUUUCCCUAUUCUGGAUCUAUUGUAUAAAUGGAAUUAUGCAAUAUGUGGCCUUCUGUACCUGGCUUUCACUUGGUAUAAUGUUUUCAAGGUUUAUCCAUGUUGCAUGUAUCAUUAUACAUGUACCAUGUACUUCAUUUCUUUUUACGGCUGAAAUAGUUUAUUGUAUAGAUAUACCAUAUUUUAUCUAUCUAUACAUUACUGAACUUUUUUUUUUGUCUUUUUGUCUUUUCCAGCGCCACCCCCACAGCAUAUGGAGGUUCCCAGGUCAGGGAUCCAAUUGGAGCUAUAGCUCCGGCCUAUGCCAGAGCCAGCGGCUACAGCCCUGAUUAGACCCCUAGCCUGGGAACCAGGGGCAGCCCUAAAAAAAAACAAAAGAAAAAAAAAAAAAAAAGAAAAGAAAAUCACACCAAAAAAAUCCCAUUAGGUUUGGCAUGCAAACAGUAUUAUUUCUCAGUAUAAACAUACUCUAUACUUAGGAGAAAAAGUGCUCUUCAAUAAUGACAAGGAAAAGGCACUAAAAAGACAGAUCAGUGCAUCUGCAGAUGACCUCUCCCAAAUUUGUAGUGUGGGAGAGGGCUAGGCUGAAAGCCCAGGUCCUCCAAACUCAAGGCCCACCUCAAAAUAGGCUGGGCCUGAUGAUGCCUUUGUCCUGGGACUAAGUGAAAGCAUGCUGUUAGGUCUGAGAAGUAAUCUGAGGAAGAACUAGAGCUCUGAAGCUCAUUUCUGGGAAAGAAAGAAAGAGCAGUUCAUUUCUGAUGCAUACCCCCAUAUAAGCAAUUUAAGGAUGAUUAAGUCCAGAUAUUAAGUAUAAGUUAGAUGUGGUGUUCCUGUUGUGGCUCAGCAGUAAUGAACCUAACUAGUAUACAUGAGGACACAGGUUCCAUCCCUGGCCCUGCUCAGUGGGUUAAGAAUCCUACGUUGCUACGACUGUGGCACAGGCUGGCAGCUGCAGCUCUGAUUAGAUCCCUAACCUGGGAACGUCCAUAUACCAUGGAUGUAGGCCUUAAAAAAAAAAAAGUUGGAUGUCAACUGCAAAGGUUGAUUUUAUAUGUUAACUUAGAAGGUGUUUCUGGACGAGAUCAACAUUUAAAUCAGUGAACUAUGUAUGAGUAAACUAGACUGCCAUCCACAACGUGUGUGGGCCUCAUCCAAGUAACUGAAGUCCUGAGUAGAACAAAAAGACCAGCCUCCCCAAGCAAGAGGGAAUUCUCCAGCAGAUUGCUUUCAAACUGGAACUGCACCGUCGGCUCUCUGGUGGCUCCACUUUGCCAGCCUUCACUGAAAUGGCACCACAGGCACUCCCACGUCUGUGCUUAUCAAGCCUGCCAGCCUCUAUUGCUAACAUUGGACCUGACAGCCUCCACAACUGCAUGAGCCAAUUCCUUGUAAUAAAUCUGUCUAUAUACACAUCUUAUCCAUUCUGUUUCUCUGAAGAACCCUCAAACAUUAGAGGUUCUAAUGGAGGUUUAAAGGAGGUCACAUCCACUUAUGGAAUUUCAGAAAAAUUCACAGAACCCAUUUAUUCUUUCACUUAAACAUGUCACAAAUAUUUACCAAGCAUCAGUUAGGAGCUGGGACUACUGUGAGUACUGAUGUGGAUACGGUCCCUUUAAAGAGCUGACAUUUUAAUGUAGGAAACACACAAUAAGUACAUAGAUGUAAGGAGGUGAUAAGGGAUACAAGCAAAACCAAGUAGGGUAAGGGCAAGUUCAGAGUGAGGCAGAGAAGGAGAGAGUGACCAGAGCUCUACUUCAGACAGGGAAGGGCUCUCAUAAGGGAAGAUGCUAUGUGAGAAAAUGUGUGAACGAAGGGAGUAAGCUAAGCAAAGAUGUGUGGGAAGACGUUGUGGUAAACAGCAAUGAAAAGGCAAUGAGAAGAACAGAAUAAGGGAGAGUAGAAAAAUGAGAUAUGCAAUGAGCCAGACCAUGAGGGGCCUGACAAGUGUGGUAGAGAGUAUAGAUUUUAUUCUGAUGGGACAUCACCGAAGAGCAUGGCAUACAUGUUCUGUAUGCUCUUGUAAAGGGAUUUGUUAACAGCUCAGUAAGGAACGGCCUCUACAAGGGUAAUAGUAAAAGCCAGAAGACAUUUAACAAGAUGGUUUAAUGAGUGGAAAGGAUUUUGACAGAUGGAAUACUCUGGAAAAAGCUGACAAAAUCAAGUAGAAAUUUGAGUGCAAAGUUUGAGAGGAGGCUAGACAGUCAUCUGCUUAGGCAUUAGUUCUGAGAACUGAUGUAAUCCCAAGUGAGAGCGUAUAUAAAGAAAGGGGACAACAAUAUCGCUACACGCUUAUCAGAAUGGCCAAAAGAGCUGAAAAUGUAUGUCCACAUAAAAACCUACACUGAAAUGUUUACUGAAUCUUUAUUUUUAACUGCCAAACAUUGGAACCACCAUUCACCUCAGCAGGUGAACAGAGGAAACCUUAAAUGAACUACUAAGUGAAAGAAGCCAAUCUGAAAAGGCGAUAAACUAUAUGAUUCAAUCUAUACAACAUUCUGAAAAAAACAAAACUAUGGAGAUAGUAAAAAGAAUGGUGGGUGCCAGGCGGAGGGGUAGGCAAGUGACAAACAGACGGAGCACAGAGGAUUUUUAGGACAGUGGAAAAUACUCUGUAUGAUACAAGAUGAUGGAUAAAUGAUUCGCCCAUGUUGUCAUAUAUUUGUCUUAAAGAAUGAAUGUGCGACAUCAAAGGUGAAUGCUGGGAUUCCCACCAUGGCACAGUAGGUUAAGGAUCGGUGUUGCAACAGCUCUGGAUGCAGCUGCAGCUCAGAUUCGAUCCCCGGCCUGGGAACUUCCACAUGCCAUGGGUGCAGCCAAAAAAAAGGUGGGAGGGGGAAUGCUAAUGUCAACUAUGGACAUCAGAGAAUCAUAUGGUAGUGUAUGUUCAUCGAUUGUAAAAAUUUAACACUCUACUGAGGGGUGUUAAUACUGGGAAGGCUAUACAUGUGUGGGGACACAGGAUAUGUGGUAAAUUCCCUCCAUUUUGCUAAAACUGCUCUAAAAAAAUAAGGUCUUAAUUUAAGAGAGAGAAAGAGCUAGGGAGAGGGGGAGAAGGGGGAAGAGAGUUCCUUGGGAUACUUGGGUUCCCAGGGGUACAAGAAAAAGCAGACUCAACAAAGGAAAAUGAAAAAGAUGAAGGGUAACCUGGGACCCAAGAUACUACAUGAGAAAAGGGAAAAGAGCGAAAAGAGUUUCACAAAAUAACACAUCAAACACCAUGGAAUGAACGAGAAGAUAAGAAUAAACCAAUGAAUUUUACAAGACAGAAAUUUUAGGAAGGUAAGAAAUCUUGGUUGUAGGCUAGAAAUGGAUUCAUAUUUUAGUAGUAAGUUUUGACCAGUUUUCUUCUAAUUUCCCAAAUGGAAUCCCAUUAAGUUUUUAGAAAAUAUUUUGAUAAAGGCAAGGAAGGAAAAAGUAAUUUUGGACUUUACUGCAGACAGUGACAAUGUAACCUGAGGGCAAAAUAAUGAAGAGAGUGCCAUGAAAGGAGGGCUCCAGAGACAAACUUCUACAGUCCCGCCCCAAAAGGCAGCUCUGCAUCCUGCCCCCUCCUAGCCCAACUGGGGCAUCACAACAGGGCCAGACUCUCAUAUGGCCGCCAUGAUCUCUGCCCCCUGCAGUUAAGCCCAUGAUCCGAGGUUGUAUGGCAAAAGGAAUAUCAGAGAUAUAAUUCAGGUUACUAAUCAGAUGACCUGAAUUUAAUCAGAAGGGGGUGAUCCAGGUGGGCCUGGCCUAAUCCUAUAAACCCUUUAAAUCUGGGUCUGAGGGGGAGUUCCCAUCGUGGCUCAGUGGAAAGAAAUCUAACUAGUAUCCAUGAGGACGCAGGUUCGAUGCCGGGCCUUGCUCAGUGGGUUAAGGAUCCAGUGUUACCAUGAUCUGUGGUGUAGGUUGCAGAUGCAGCUUGCUGCAGCUCCGAAUUAAACCCACUUAAACCCCGGAGGUGUGGGGUGGGAGGGAACAAAGACUUGAGCCCUACAACCACAACAAACUACAAUUCUGCCAACAAACUACAAGAGCUUGGAAGAGAACCCUUAGCUCCAAAUGAGAACCACAGUGGGGACAAUACCAUAGCAGAGAACCCCAUUCAUGUCCAGAAACGGUUUUGUUUUAAGCUGCUCAAUAUGUGGCAUUUGUUAUAUAGCAAU
Molecule: long non-coding RNA, 5829 nt
Filed under: Sus scrofa (pig)
Lineage: Eukaryota; Metazoa; Chordata; Mammalia; Artiodactyla; Suidae
Description: lncRNA (ENSSSCG00040026228.1)
Source: RNAcentral